This 253-nucleotide ribosomal RNA is filed under the name uncultured bacterium. RNAcentral describes it as "partial 16S ribosomal RNA". It matches the Rfam family "Bacterial small subunit ribosomal RNA", at positions 524 to 776 of the family's 1533-position model. The record is from RNAcentral.
UACGUAGGGUGCAAGCGUUGUCCGGAAUUAUUGGGCGUAAAGAGCUCGUAGGCGGUCUGUCGCGUCGGCUGUGAAAUCCCGAGGCUCAACCUCGGGUCUGCAGUCGAUACGGGCAAACUAGAGUAUUGCAGGGGAGACUGGAAUUCCUGGUGUAGCGGUGAAAUGCGCAGAUAUCAGGAGGAACACCGGUGGCGAAGGCGGGUCUCUGGGCAUUUCCUGACGCUGAGGCGCGAAAGCGUGGGGAGCAAACGGG